CAUCUUCAGGGCGGGGUGCAAGUCCCCACCGGCGGUAAAGUCCGCGAGCCGAAAGGCUGAGCAGGUGCAAUUCCUGCACCGACGGUGAUAGUCCGGAAGGAAGAAG
RNAcentral lists this non-coding RNA (106 nucleotides) under human gut metagenome. Its description in RNAcentral is "FMN riboswitch (RFN element)". It matches the Rfam family "FMN riboswitch aptamer (RFN element)". From Rfam's summary of the family: The RFN element is a highly conserved domain that is found frequently in the 5'-untranslated regions of prokaryotic mRNAs that encode for flavin mononucleotide (FMN) biosynthesis and transport proteins. This element is a metabolite-dependent riboswitch that directly binds FMN in the absence of proteins. The record is from RNAcentral.